CGUCCCUGUGUGGCGAACAGGUCCUUGAGCGUGUGCGCGUGCACACAGUUAUUUUAUCUAAAAAGUGCAAAAGUCUAUGCCACUAUUAAAUAGCUAUGAAUCAGCCCAAAAUCAGAACCAGAGCAAAUCAAAUCAGCGGAAAUUCAAAGACUUUCAUUAAAUAACAUAAAAUAGGGCGGAUAAACGUAUCACAUAUGUGUCUAUGGGAAUUCAUGAUGAGUGUUGCAGCGACAGCGACCACUACAGGUGCCUUAAGAAAUUACAGCGCGUGACAUCAGCUACAAGAAAAACGCGCCAUUUCUCGACCUUACCGAGGGCCAGAUAUCGCAUACCUCGCAUAUCCCAAAAAGGCGCUGGGUGCAGAAUACUCGAAUCGUCGAUGAAUGAGUGAACUGGUUGAUUGAGGUCUUGGAGUGUCCACUAGAUGGUGAAAGAUCCUUUAGUGAACUGAAGCCGCCAAUGUCCAAAUAUAGCGCUGACAUCUUGGAGCCCAAGUCUGCGCAGUAGUGAGCAUGAAGUGGAGCUGCGGUAUCAAGGCUCCGCCCACACUCCCCCAGAAUCGGUUAGUACAG
Long non-coding RNA from Ctenopharyngodon idella (grass carp), 572 nucleotides. RefSeq lists it as uncharacterized. The transcript is spliced from 3 exons. The record is from RefSeq and is a predicted model, not a curated record. NCBI's taxonomy places the organism in Eukaryota, Metazoa, Chordata, Actinopteri, Cypriniformes, Xenocyprididae.